GACGAACGCUGGCGGCGUGCUUAACACAUGCAAGUCGAACGGAAAGGCCCGGCUUUUGUGGGGUGCUCGAGUGGCGAACGGGUGAGUAACACGUGAGUAACCUGCCCUUGACUUUGGGAUAACUUCAGGAAACUGGGGCUAAUACCGGAUAGGAGCUCCUGCUGCAUGGUGGGGGUUGGAAAGUUUCGGCGGUUGGGGAUGGACUCGCGGCUUAUCAGCUUGUUGGUGGGGUAGUGGCUUACCAUGGCUUUGACGGGUAGCCGGCCUGAGAGGGUGACCGGCCAAGUCGGGCCGGAGAUACGGCACAGACUCCUCCGGGAGGCAGCAGUGGGGAAGAUUGCACAAGGGGCGGAAGGCUGAUGCAGCAACGCCGCGUGCGGGAUGUCGGCCUUCGGGUUGUAAACCGAUUUCGCCUGUGACGAAGCGUGAGUGACGGUACUGGGUAAAGAAGCACCGGCUAACUACGUG
RNAcentral lists this ribosomal RNA (468 nucleotides) under uncultured bacterium. RNAcentral's name for it is "partial 16S ribosomal RNA". It matches the Rfam family "Bacterial small subunit ribosomal RNA", at positions 28 to 507 of the family's 1533-position model. The record is from RNAcentral.